Non-coding RNA from Parelaphostrongylus tenuis, 71 nucleotides. The record is from the annotation of a GenBank genome assembly. Lineage: Eukaryota; Metazoa; Nematoda; Chromadorea; Rhabditida; Metastrongylidae.
GCGUCGAUAGUGCAAUGGUUAGCAUAAGCUCCCGGAAAGAGUGAGAUCUGGGUUCGUUCCCGGCUGAAGCA